ACCUCAGGAAACUUGGCCUGGUACUCAGGUGAAGUGCUUGCUGUGCCAGAAGGAGCGAGUGUAGAACAAGAAUAUAUCAUCAGUGCUGAGGCAUUAUAGAGCUUUUCAUGAGAAUCAGCAGCCUGCCAACAGACCAGACACAAGCGACAAUUCCAGAAAAACAAAUGAUGGAUGAGGCCUUGGUUAAUAUGAUAAUUCCAGACACCCAGCCAUUGUCAGUGGUGGAAGAUGUGGGUUUGAUGGAGCUCAUGCACAUACUGGAACCCACUGAUCAUCUCCCUACU
Molecule: long non-coding RNA, 284 nt
Organism: Neoarius graeffei (lesser salmon catfish)
Lineage: Eukaryota; Metazoa; Chordata; Actinopteri; Siluriformes; Ariidae
Exons: 3
Source: RefSeq, a predicted model, not a curated record